This 234-nucleotide ribosomal RNA is filed under the name uncultured bacterium. RNAcentral describes it as "partial 16S ribosomal RNA". It matches the Rfam family "Bacterial small subunit ribosomal RNA", at positions 122 to 354 of the family's 1533-position model. The record is from RNAcentral.
UAAUCUGCCUUUUAGAGGGAAAUAACAAGAAGAAAUUCUUGCUAAUGUCCCAUAAGACCACAUUGUCGCAUGACAGAGAGGUCAAAGGAGAAAUCCGCUAGAAGAUGAGUCUAUGGCUGAUUAGUUAGUUGGAGUGGUAAGAGCACACCAAGACGAUGAUCAGUAGCCGAGCUGAGAGGCUGGCCGGCCACAUUGGGACUGAGACACGGCCCAGACUCCUACGGAAGGCAGCAG